This 523-nucleotide ribosomal RNA is filed under the name Lewia cf. infectoria CBS 116001. Its description in RNAcentral is "eukaryotic LSU rRNA". The stretch from base 203 to 356 matches the Rfam family "5.8S ribosomal RNA". Lineage: Eukaryota; Fungi; Ascomycota; Dothideomycetes; Pleosporales; Pleosporaceae. The record is from RNAcentral.
AUCAUUACACAAUAACAAGGCGGGUUGGACACCCCCCCGCUGGGCACUGCUUCACGGCGUGCGCGGCGGGGCCGGCCCUGCUGAAUUAUUCACCCGUGUCUUUUGCGUACUUCUUGUUUCCUGGGUGGGCUCGCCCGCCCUCAGGACCAACCAUAAACCUUUUGCAAUAGCAAUCAGCGUCAGUAACAACGUAAUUAAUUACAACUUUCAACAACGGAUCUCUUGGUUCUGGCAUCGAUGAAGAACGCAGCGAAAUGCGAUACGUAGUGUGAAUUGCAGAAUUCAGUGAAUCAUCGAAUCUUUGAACGCACAUUGCGCCCUUUGGUAUUCCAAAGGGCAUGCCUGUUCGAGCGUCAUUUGUACCCUCAAGCUUUGCUUGGUGUUGGGCGUCUUUUGUCUCCAGUUCGCUGGAGACUCGCCUUAAAGUCAUUGGCAGCCGGCCUACUGGUUUCGGAGCGCAGCACAAGUCGCGCUCUUCGCCAGCCAAGGUCAGCGUCCAGCAAGCCUUUUUUUCAACCUUUGA